RNAcentral lists this long non-coding RNA (1384 nucleotides) under Bemisia tabaci. Its description in RNAcentral is "lncRNA ENSSSA2NGG004326". The record is from RNAcentral. Lineage: Eukaryota; Metazoa; Arthropoda; Insecta; Hemiptera; Aleyrodidae.
AUGUUCACGGGCUCUAGACUGGCACCUCUCUUUAUAAGUACAAUAGCUGCGUGCCAUUGUCUCUCUUUCAACGCAACAAGAAGUGGAGUCACGCUACCGAAUCCUGUAACAUCAGUUGCUUGCGCAUCGAUGUUUGCUCCCCCAUCCAACAACAAUUCUACCAUCGUUUCACUCCCUCCAAAAGCAGCUUCGUGUAACGCGGUCCAAUCUUCUUUCGGACUAGUUUUAAUGUCUACAGCUCCCUCCGAAAAAAGUGUCGGUAUAUCACCACGGUUUUCAUUAACAUUUGCUCCCUUCUCUAUAAGAGCUCGGACCAAAUGUUUGUUCUUCCUCUUUACAGCCAUGGCAAGGGGCACGAGACCAUCUUUCCUCGGGGCGUUAAGGUUAACAUCACACUUUCGGAGAAAGGCCACUAAUGCGUACAAGCUGUUUUUAACGGCAAAGUGAGCGAGGGUGCCGCCUUUUCUGUGCCGAUAUCUAAUGCUGACUCCGGAGGUCAAGAGUUUCAGGAUAAAUCGAUGAUAUCCAUGCAGAGCAUUGGAAGUUUGUUCAGUUUGGCGAUACUUAAGUUUUCUAUUGCAGAACUUUGGGAGACAUUCAAUUUCAGAACCACCCGGUAAGAGUUGCUGGAUAAGAUCGAUAUUGUGACCACUAACAUAUAGGACAGGUACUUUCGUGCACUUCCUGAUUGGCUGCCAAAUCUUCGGCGGAGACAAUAUUUUCUCCCCAGAUUUCUAUCAAAUCGAAAAUUGUACCUGCAGGUGGGUUGAAAUCAGCUGGGUUGAUCACCGGGUUUAGGGAUGUGAAGGGCUUGGACAUUGUGAACGCGGGAUUUACCAACAGGAAACACUCGAAAGCUGAUCUGCAUUCAGCAAUGAUUUCCUGCAUGGGAUUUGUUGCGUUGGUUCUGCAUUUGACGAGAAGGAAAGCCUGAACGAGCAUGGCUUUGGUGUUUUCUGAAACAAACAAUAAUCCCGGAGAAAACUAUAAAACAUGUAACGAGGUCUUUUGGUGCAGUAAUGACAAAUUUUUACUCGCAGUUUUGAUAACCGCGGUCCUUUUUCAGCACGAGAUUUCACUGUUCCUGACGUGAGUGAAACCAAGUAGUUCUUCAUGUAGUGAGACAUACGCAGAAAAGAAGUCAAUUCAGCACCUUCAGAGAGGGAUAUUAACGCGCCAUUCUGUUUCGAAGAACUGACACCUGCCGUCUAUCCCACUUUCUCAUCGACUUCUAACAUUAUUAUUUACACUAUUAUUGCAUUAUGAAAACGGUUACUCAAGUGCAUGUAUUUAAAUAAGCGGAUGGUUUUCGAUCCGAGAUUUCAACGUGAAGAUUCACGAAGUGUAAGCUUCAAUCCAUGACGUAUGUGUGCGCAUUUGUGGC